AGUGAAAGAUACCUCAAUGCUGACACACCAUAGGGAUUUUCACACAACACCAUUUUGUCUCUGACUACAGCAGCAGUGUAAAAAUGUAUUGUGGCAGAUUUACUGAUAACAAAUGGAGCAGAUUGUCUUGAAUGCUUACAGAGUCAGUUCUUAGUCUGGACAGCUCCUCCUCCCGCUCCUCGAUGCAGCUCUUCAAUUCGUCAAUCUGGGGAGGAAACAGUGAAAGUAUGUCGUCUCUAGUCUUGUACAAGAAACUAAAAGGAGAGAAGAUGGGAAUCAAAAGGACAGAUUGGAGUCUGUAGUCUUGUACAAGAAACUAAAAGGAGAGAAGAUGGGAAUCAAAAGGACAGAUUGGAGUCUGUAGUCUUGUACAAGAAGCUAAAAGGAGAGAAGAUGGGAAUCAAAAGGACAGAUUGGAGUCUGUAGUCUUGUACAAGAAACUAAAAGGAGAGAAGAUGGGAAUCAAAAGGACAGAUUGGAGUCUGUAGUCUUGUACAAGAAACUAAAAGGAGAGAAGAUGGGAAUCAAAAGGACAGAUUGGAGUCUGUAGUCUUGUACAAGAAACUAAAAGGAGAGAAGAUGGGAAUCAAAAGGACAGAUUGGAGUCUGUAGUCUUGUACAAGAAGCUAAAAGGAGAGAAGAUGGGAAUCAAAAGGACAGAUUGGAGUCUGUAGUCUUGUACAAGAAGCUAAAAGGAGAGAAGAUGGGAAUCAAAAGGACAGAUUGGAGUCUGUAGUCUUGUACAAUAAGCUAAAAGGAGAGAAGAUGGGAAUCAAAAGGACACAUUGGAGUCUGUAGUCUUGUACAACAAGUUAAAAGGAGAGAAGAUGGGAAUCAAAAGGACAGAUUGGAUGCUGAAAAAACGCUGUCAUGAAGCGCUUCCCAGGUGCAACAAAGGGACAAGUGGGAAAUGGCUUAAAACAGUCAAAAUGGUGGAAUUGAGAAGCGAUGAAUAGGAUUAAAUGAUGUGUUUUGUGUCGUUUGUUCUGUUCUAUUACCAUGACUACAAGUAUCACUGAAAUAAUGUUCCCGUAACAUAUAUGUUAACACAUAUUGUUCAGAUGUAUUGUAUCAUGUAAGGGACAUAAUAAACAUUUGAAUACUAAAUGUGUUACAUAUAUAUGAGCAUAUAAGUAUUAUGCAUAUAUGCACAUAUAUGUGGAUAUAAGGCAGAAAUAUUUGUCACAUAUAUGAAAAUGGCCAAUUAUUGUAUAUUUCAACAUAUAUGUGACAUAUCUAGUGCCCUCAGAAAGUCUUUCAAACCUAUUGACUUUUUCAACAUUUUGUUAUGUUACAGCCUGAAUUUAAAAUGGGUUAAAUACAGAUUUUGUGUCACUCGCCUACACACAAUACCCCAUAAUGUCAACGCGUAAUGAUGUUUUUAAAAGUUUUUACAUACUAAUAAAAAAUGAAAAGCUGAAA
This is a long non-coding RNA of Salvelinus fontinalis (brook trout), 1422 nucleotides long. RefSeq lists it as uncharacterized. The record is from RefSeq and is a predicted model, not a curated record. The transcript is spliced from 2 exons. NCBI's taxonomy places the organism in Eukaryota, Metazoa, Chordata, Actinopteri, Salmoniformes, Salmonidae.